AAAGAUCUCCAGGUCUUCGAUAGAGCCACCUUGGAGACUUUUGUGUGUUUUGGUCUGCAUUUGGGAAUGAAUAGGGAUGGAAACUCUUCUUUUUUUAUCUGAUAGAAUUCUUUAAUUUCUGGGAAGCAAGGCAGCCAUGUUGGGAGGUCUCCAAUGACAUUAUGUUGAGAAGAUGCGUCCAGUUCUAUGAAAGAUCCCUGAGGAUUCCCCGUCCACCGCAAGAGAUCCAGAGAUGCUUUAUUUUUAGCAGUUCGGGUGGAACUUUGAGCGGGACCAAGCGGCAGCGGAUUACUUUGAGGGAAGAAGGCUACUCAGACCGGCUGAUGGAUGAAUCCAGGCCCAAAAUCAUCGUGAAAGACUGGCAAUAUUUCAGCUGGAUGUCUGAUAGUCAACUCCAUGUGAAGCUGCUGUCAGCUGGAUUGGAGGUCCUCCAAGAAUGCAGCCUAUCUGGUUUUGAUAUUUGUGACUGGUGGAAUGAGGUACAGCUAUAGAUAUAAUAUUAUAUUAUUAUAUAUCAUAAUUUCAGCCAAUGACCAACAUUCAUUAUAUAAUAUAUACUCUAUAUAUAUAUAUAUAUAUAUAUAUAUAUAUAUAUAUAUAUAUAAUUUAUAUUAAUAUAUAAUAUUAAUUUCAGCCAAUGACCAACAGCGACUAUAUUAUAUAUUAUAAUAUUAUAUAUAUAUUUUAGGAUAUUAUAUUAUAUUAAUAUAUAAUAUUAAUUUUAGACAAUGACCCAUAGCAACUAUAUUAUAUAUUAGAAUAUUAUAUAUAUAUUUAGGAUAUUAUAUUAUCUAUAUAUAUGAAAAUGUAAUGUGCGUUUUUCCCAUGAAGUAAACAACAAAACCACUGAACCAAAUCACACCAAAUCUGGCCACAAAAGACAUAGUCAUUCAAUCUGUGUCUUUGAAUUAAAAAAACCUAGAGGACGAGGAAGAGCCGUUUUCCCCCUGGCUGCCAGUCAGCAGGGUAGGCUCCACCCCCUUUAGGUCCCCAAUGGCCAACAGUGACUAUAUUAUAUAUUAUAUUAUAUAUAUUUUAGGAUAUUGUAUUAUAUUAAUAUAUAAUAUUAAUUUCAGCUAAUGACCAACGGCGAC
RNAcentral lists this long non-coding RNA (1094 nucleotides) under Anolis carolinensis (green anole). RNAcentral's name for it is "lncRNA (ENSACAG00000041634.1)". The record is from RNAcentral. Lineage: Eukaryota; Metazoa; Chordata; Lepidosauria; Squamata; Anolidae.